UAGGGAAUCUUCGGCAAUGGACGAAAGUCUGACCGAGCAACGCCGCGUGAGUGAAGAAGGUUUUCGGAUCGUAAAACUCUGUUGUUAGAGAAGAACAAGGACGUUAGUAACUGAACGUCCCCUGACGGUAUCUAACCAGAAAGCCACGGCUAACUACGUGCCAGCAGCCGCGGUAAUACGUAGGUGGCAAGCGUUGUCCGGAUUUAUUGGGCGUAAAGCGAGCGCAGGCGGUUUCUUAAGUCUGAUGUGAAAGCCCCCGGCUCAACCGGGGAGGGUCAUUGGAAACUGGGAGACUUGAGGGCAGAAGAGGAGAGUGGAAUUCCAUGUGUAGCGGUGAAAUGCGUAGAUAUAUGGAGGAACACCAGUGGAGAAGGCGGCUCUCUGGUCUGUAACUGACGCUGAGGCUAGAAAGCGUGGGGAGCAAACAGG
This 429-nucleotide ribosomal RNA is filed under the name Gemmatimonadota bacterium. Its description in RNAcentral is "Gemmatimonadetes bacterium partial 16S ribosomal RNA". It matches the Rfam family "Bacterial small subunit ribosomal RNA", at positions 355 to 776 of the family's 1533-position model. Lineage: Bacteria; Pseudomonadati; Gemmatimonadota. The record is from RNAcentral.